Molecule: non-coding RNA, 664 nt
Organism: Danio rerio (zebrafish)
Lineage: Eukaryota; Metazoa; Chordata; Actinopteri; Cypriniformes; Danionidae
Source: Ensembl
AUUUUUGUCUCUUUUUUGCCCUUCCGUCCACACUGAGACGCGUUUUUAGGAAACAAAACGUAUCUUUUUGAAAACGCUCUCCAAAGUGGAUAAAUUUGAAAACGCCGUUUUCGUGUCGUAGUGUAGACUGUGAAAACGGAGUCUUUAGAAAACGAUGACGCGUUUUUUUGUCAUGUGACACAGUCAUGUUACUAAUUCGUUUACUUUAAUUUCGUUGUGUUUAUGAUUUUAGCGAUGUCGUCCUUACUGUGAGGGUAAGCAGCGUCAUCAGCAAGAUACCGUUCUUUAAAGCGGGCCUGUAUAUCUGCGUAUUUGUUUUGGCACGUCUCCCAGUCUACAUUUUCACUCUCUUUUGCAACUUUGUAUUCAUAUGUUACUCGAAGCAGCAACUCUAAUUUAUUGUCAGUGCAUUUAAAAAAACUCUUUGCUUUUCCUUGACAUUUUGCCACAAUGUUUCAAAGAGCCGGAAAGAAAAUAAACGUCAGGCGGAAAUGACGCGUGCAGAGGCGUCUUACGUUUCAUGCAUGCGCAGUACAGGUUGAAAGCAUUUGUAGUCGUUUCAGUGUGGAUGACAAAAUUUAAAAAAACAAAUAGAAACGAUGUGAAGCGUUUUUAGAGGAAAACUCCGUUUUCAAAUUUUUCCGGAUUAGUGUAGACAUGGCCU